RNAcentral lists this ribosomal RNA (253 nucleotides) under uncultured bacterium. Its description in RNAcentral is "partial 16S ribosomal RNA". It matches the Rfam family "Bacterial small subunit ribosomal RNA", at positions 524 to 776 of the family's 1533-position model. The record is from RNAcentral.
UACGGAGGGUGCAAGCGUUGUCCGGAUUUAUUGGGUUUAAAGGGUGCGUAGGCGGUUCUUUAAGUCAGCGGUGAAAGUCCAGAGCUCAACUCUGGGAUUGCCAUUGAUACUGAAGAACUUGAGUAUAGUUGAGGUAGGCGGAAUUGACAGUGUAGCGGUGAAAUGCAUAGAUAUUGUCAAGAACACCGAUUGCGUAGGCAGCUUACUAAGCUAUAACUGACGCUGAGGCACGAAAGUGUGGGGAUCAAACAGG